GUAGUGGCUUAUGCUUCAAGACAGUUAAAGAAGCAUGAGCAGAACUAUUCCACUCAUGAUCUAGAGAUGACGGUUGUAGUUUUUACAUUAAAGAUUUGGAGGCACUAUUUGUAUGGUGAGGUGUACUACACUGACUAUAAGAGUUUAAAGUAUAUCUUCCAGCAGAGAGAUUUAAAUCUAAGGCAAAGGAGAUAGUUAGAGCUUCUGAAGGACUGAUUGUACUAUCAGUAUCACCCAGGUAAGGCGAAUGUGGUCGUAGAUGCCUUAAGCAGGAAAUCUGCUGGCAGCCUGGCACAUAUAUCAGUGUAAAGG
Molecule: unclassified non-coding RNA, 312 nt
Filed under: Hevea brasiliensis (rubber tree)
Lineage: Eukaryota; Viridiplantae; Streptophyta; Magnoliopsida; Malpighiales; Euphorbiaceae
Source: RNAcentral